UUAACGUUCUUCUUAAAUCCAGGUUCCUCCCGAGGAGAAGUCCGCCCAGUGGAAGGAUCUGGAAGCUUCUCUAGCUGAGAGGACCAGCGCUGUGACUGCUGCUGAAACAGCCUUGUCCAAUGCCAAUGAAGCCUUGCACAGUCUGAAGGCGGUGAUUGACAGCUCUAAGGGGCUGAAGGUGGCUGCUGUGCGCCCCCUGGUUCUAGCA
Long non-coding RNA from Notothenia coriiceps (black rockcod), 208 nucleotides. RefSeq lists it as uncharacterized. The record is from RefSeq and is a predicted model, not a curated record. The transcript has 2 exons. Lineage: Eukaryota; Metazoa; Chordata; Actinopteri; Perciformes; Nototheniidae.